GUCCACGCCGUAAACGAUGGAUACUAGCUGUUGGGAGCAAUUUCAGUGGCUAAGCGAAAGUGAUAAGUAUCCCACCUGGGGAGUACGAACGCAAGUUUGAAACUCAAAGGAAUUGACGGGGGCCCGCACAAGCGGUGGAGCAUGUGGUUUAAUUCGAUGAUACGCGAGGAACCUUACCAAGGCUUAAAUGUAGAUUGACAGGUUUGGAAACAGACUUUUCUUCGGACAAUUUACAAGGUGCUGCAUGGUUGUCGU
RNAcentral lists this ribosomal RNA (255 nucleotides) under uncultured bacterium. Its description in RNAcentral is "partial 16S ribosomal RNA". It matches the Rfam family "Bacterial small subunit ribosomal RNA", at positions 793 to 1055 of the family's 1533-position model. The record is from RNAcentral.